UAGGGAACUUUUCACAAUGAGCGAAAGCUUGAUGGAGCAAUGCCGCGUGAACGAUGAAGGUCUUUAAGAUUGUAAAGUUCUUUUAUUUGGGAAGAAUGACUUUAGCAGGUAAUGGCUAGAGUUUGACUGUACCAUUUUGAAUAAGUGACGACUAACUAUGUGCCAGCAGUCGCGGUAAUACAUAGGUCGCAAGCGUUAUCCGGAUUUAUUGGGCGUAAAGCAAGCGCAGGCGGAUUGAAAAGUCUGGUGUUAAAGGCAGCUGCUUAACAGUUGUAUGCAUUGGAAACUAUUAAUCUAGAGUGUGGUAGGGAGUUUUGGAAUUUCAUGUGGAGCGGUGAAAUGCGUAGAUAUAUGAAGGAACACCAGUGGCGAAGGCGAAAACUUAGGCCAUUACUGACGCUUAGGCUUGAAAGUGUGGGGAGCAAAUAGGAUUAGAUACCCUAGUAGUCCACACCGUAAACGAUAGAUACUAGCUGUCGGGGCGAUCCCCUCGGUAGUGAAGUUAACACAUUAAGUAUCUCGCCUGGGUAGUACAUUCGCAAGAAUG
RNAcentral lists this ribosomal RNA (547 nucleotides) under uncultured bacterium. Its description in RNAcentral is "bacterial SSU rRNA". It matches the Rfam family "Bacterial small subunit ribosomal RNA", at positions 355 to 896 of the family's 1533-position model. The record is from RNAcentral.